Molecule: unclassified non-coding RNA, 236 nt
Filed under: plant metagenome
Description: partial contains small subunit ribosomal RNA and internal transcribed spacer 1
Rfam family: Eukaryotic small subunit ribosomal RNA (bases 1-46)
Source: RNAcentral
AAGUCGUAACAAGGUUUCCGUAGGUGAACCUGCGGAAGGAUCAUUAAAGAGAUAGGGUUCUCAUGAGCCCGACCUCCAACCCUUUGUCUACCAAACCUCUGUUGCCUCGGCGGGCCGCCGGCUCCUUUAACCAGGGGCCGCCGUCGGCUCUCGCGCUCUCGAGUGCCCGCCGCAGGACUAUUUCAAACUCUUUUUAAACAAGUACAAUCUGAGUGGAUAUUAAUGCUUCAAUUAAA